RNAcentral lists this ribosomal RNA (464 nucleotides) under uncultured bacterium. RNAcentral describes it as "bacterial SSU rRNA". It matches the Rfam family "Bacterial small subunit ribosomal RNA", at positions 330 to 792 of the family's 1533-position model. The record is from RNAcentral.
UCCAGACUCCUACGGGAGGCAGCAGUGAGGAAUAUUGGUCAAUGGUCGGGAGACUGAACCAGCCAAGCCGCGUGAGGGAGGAAGGUACAGAGUAUCGUAAACCUCUUUUGUCAGGGAACAAAGACUGGGACGCGUCCCCGGAUGAGUGUACCUGAAGAAAAAGCAUCGGCUAACUCCGUGCCAGCAGCCGCGGUAAUACGGAGGAUGCGAGCGUUAUCCGGAUUUAUUGGGUUUAAAGGGUGCGUAGGCGGGACCUUAAGUCAGCGGUAAAAUUGCGGUGCUCAACGCCGUAGGGCCGUUGAAACUGGGGUUCUUGAGUGAGCGAGAAGUAUGCGGAAUGCGUGGUGUAGCGGUGAAAUGCAUAGAUAUCACGCAGAACCCCGAUUGCGAAGGCAGCAUACCGGCGCUCAACUGACGCUGAGGCACGAAAGUGCGGGUAUCGAACAGGAUUAGAUACCCCCGUA